UGGAGGAGUCACAUAUAGGACACCUCAGUGGAAAGCUCCAGCUGAGCUCCCAGCAUCAGCUGCCAGCCAUGGCUGGACUGGAGAAACAUCAAGUCCAGUCAAGAUUUGAGAUGACUCUAGUCCCAGCCGACAUUUGACUACAAUUUUGCAAGACUUCCCAAGUAAGAACUUCUCAGGUUCAGCACUCCUGUUGAAUUCGACUGGAUUCUGGAAAGAUAUUUGGACUCACUAUCAUAACAGAAGAGUGAUAAUAAAUAUAAAUACCUGAACCUGAAUUUCAACUUUGCUAUUCUUUAUGGAUGUGAUUUUUGACACAUUAUUUCCUGCCUAGGGGUGAAUACAUUUGGUGUACAUACAUUCAGAUAUGAAUAUACAGAUGCAUAUACAUUUUCAAUGUACCAGCUUUAAUGGAGAAGAACAAAGGAUAUUCAUUAAUUGGAGCUACAAAAAUCUCUUCAAGGACUUCCAUUUGCAUCAGAAUAAAGUCUGUCUUUCUUAGUCUAGCAUUCAAGGCCUUCUGAAUCUGACUUCGACUAU
Molecule: long non-coding RNA, 537 nt
Organism: Callithrix jacchus (white-tufted-ear marmoset)
Lineage: Eukaryota; Metazoa; Chordata; Mammalia; Primates; Cebidae
Source: RefSeq, a predicted model, not a curated record